This 465-nucleotide ribosomal RNA is filed under the name uncultured bacterium. RNAcentral's name for it is "partial 16S ribosomal RNA". It matches the Rfam family "Bacterial small subunit ribosomal RNA", at positions 338 to 795 of the family's 1533-position model. The record is from RNAcentral.
CCUACGGGAGGCUGCAGUGGGGAAUAUUGCGCAAUGGGCGAAAGCCUGACGCAGCGACGCCGCGUGAGGGAUGAAGGUCUUCGGAUCGUAAACCUCUGUCAGCAGGGAAGAACGGUCACUGUGCUAAUCAGCAGUGCAUUGACGGUACCUGCAACGGAAGCACCGGCUAACUCCGUGCCAGCAGCCGCGGUAAUACGGAGGGUGCGAGCGUUAAUCGGAAUUACUGGGCGUAAAGCGCUCGUAGGCGGUAUGUCAAGUCAAGGGUGAAAUCCCCGGGCUCAACGUGGGAACUGCCUUUGAAACUGGCAAACUGGAGUGUUGGAGAGGAUAGUGGAAUUCCAGGUGUAGGAGUGAAAUCCGUAGAUAUCUGGAGGAACAUCAGUGGCGAAGGCGACUAUCUGGCACAUAACUGACGCUGAGGAGCGAAAGCGUGGGUAGCAAACAGGAUUAGAUACCCCAGUAGUC